GACGAACGCUGGCGGCGUGCCUAACACAUGCAAGUCGAGCGAUGAAACCCUUCGGGGUGGAUUAGCGGCGGACGGGUGAGUAACACGUGGGUAACCUGCCUCAAAGAGGGGGAUAGCCUCCCGAAAGGGAGAUUAAUACCGCAUAACAUUAGUUUUUCGCAUGGAGAACUAAUUAAAGGAGUAAUCCGCUUUGAGAUGGACCCGCGGCGCAUUAGCUAGUUGGUGAGGUAAAGGCUCACCAAGGCGACGAUGCGUAGCCGACCUGAGAGGGUGAUCGGCCACAUUGGAACUGAGACACGGUCCAGACUCCUACGGGAGGCAGCAGUGGGGAAUAUUGCACAAUGGGCGAAAGCCUGAUGCAGCAACGCCGCGUGAGUGAUGAAGGCCUUCGGGUUGUAAAGCUCUGUCUUUUGGGACGAUAAUGACGGUACCAAAGGAGGAAGCCACGGCUAACUACGUG
Molecule: ribosomal RNA, 460 nt
Filed under: uncultured bacterium
Lineage: Bacteria
Description: bacterial SSU rRNA
Rfam family: Bacterial small subunit ribosomal RNA
Source: RNAcentral